GACUCGGUGGUGUGGUACCUAUCUGUGCUUGAUUCCGUGUCGAAAAAGUAGAUGAAGCAGAUGAUGCCUGUUCAAAUCAGGCCCGAGUCA
This is a non-coding RNA of Mycena rebaudengoi, 90 nucleotides long. NCBI's taxonomy places the organism in Eukaryota, Fungi, Basidiomycota, Agaricomycetes, Agaricales, Mycenaceae. The record is from the annotation of a GenBank genome assembly.